UACGUAGGGGGCAAGCGUUGUCCGGAUUUAUUGGGCGUAAAGCGCACGCAGGCGGUCUUUUACGUUUCGAGUGACAGGUGGUGGCUUAACCAUCACAGGCCUUGGAAAACGGGAAGACUUGAGGGCUUCAGAGGGACGCGGAAUUCCUGGUGUAGCGGUGAAAUGCGCAGAUAUCAGGAAGAACACCAAUGGCGAAGGCAGCUCUCUGGGACGGUACUGACGCUGAGACGCGAAAGCGUGGGGAGCGAACAGG
RNAcentral lists this ribosomal RNA (253 nucleotides) under uncultured bacterium. RNAcentral's name for it is "partial 16S ribosomal RNA". It matches the Rfam family "Bacterial small subunit ribosomal RNA", at positions 524 to 776 of the family's 1533-position model. The record is from RNAcentral.